Long non-coding RNA from Equus asinus (donkey), 2643 nucleotides. Lineage: Eukaryota; Metazoa; Chordata; Mammalia; Perissodactyla; Equidae. The record is from Ensembl.
GUUCAAUGUAUCCAGUCCUUUUUUUUAUUUCAAACAUCAAGAUGGAGUAAUUUAGUAUUUGGGGAGGGCAGGGAACACUUAGGACAUCAGAACUGUAUUGCUAUUUAUUAUUUGCAUCCUCUAAUAACCAACCUAGCCCCAAUCAACAAUACAGUCUUCAAAAUUCCUUUAAUCAAACAGGAUUUUCAGGAGAUGUUUAUAUUAAUAAGCAGACUAAGUGCCAAGUUUACAUUUGCUUUCUCCUUUAUGCACCACCAGGAUGCGUGCAUUGAGAGUGGAAUACAUGACCAGCAAAUGAAUGGGUAAGUGUCACACGCAAACAGCAUGACUAGAAAUUUAAGAAGCAAAGCGAUAAGAACCUUAGGGAAAGCAAAAUUCAUAAAAGUUUAGAAUUACAAGAGGCCUUAAUAGACCAUUUAAUCCAUUCUGAUGACAACUCCAGACAGAUGACAAUCUAUCCUAUUUUUAAAAGCCUCCAGAUUUCCAACCUCCCUAGAUGUCUCAUUCUGCCAUAUAAUUCUGUCAUGUGAUUUGGGGGAAAUAUUACAAGACUAUCCUUUGCCCUACCUAAUGAUCUAUUUUCUCAAAUAAUAGAACAAUACAUUUUAACUCACUUCCAAGAUACGCAAACGUGUACAGGUGCAUAAUACACAUGCAUGUAUAUAUAUAUGCACAUAUAUGCACACAGGCACCUAAGACACUCAGUUUUGCUUGUAUAAACACACACUAUAGAAACCCAGACAAGCAAAGGCACAUAUCCACCCUAUCCCAAUCAAAAAAGCACUAACAACAUCAAAUAACGAUUUUGACCUAAAAAUAACCAAUGGAAAUUAAUUUUAUAAAACCUUUAAGGUAACCAGGUUUCUUCUAUGAAUAAACAAAGCUUAUCUGUUUUCCACAAGUACUGCUUCUUUUCAGUACCCACCACAGGCAGAAUUCUAAAAACACAUAUGUACUGGAUCCAAGCAGAAAGUAAUUUGUUAAUGUUUGAUUGUUAAAACCAUUUAGCUAACAAUCAUUUUGGAAGAGGGCCCAAUGAAAUAGAUAGCAAUGACAGAGUACAGCCAGUGAUAACGAACAAGUAACCAGUUUUAAUCAAGCAGGCCAAAGAAGUGACUCAAAUAAAACAAAUCAUUUUUGGAACAUAUAUAGAAUGGGGAAGUCCCAAUCAACAAUGAGCCAAAUACUACUUGAAAAAAUUAAGCGUUAGGAAAUACACUAAAAUGUUAACCAUGACAUGCUAUCUCUAGAAAUUGAAUUACAAGGAUGAGUUAGUUUGUUCAGAUUUGGUAUUCCUAUUAUUCUGAUUAUCCAUAUUUUCUACUGUAUUAUAGACAAUAUUUUAAAAUUAAGGCAAAUUCUGUCCCCGUGUUUCACAGCAAUUUAGGAUGGAGAGCAUGUCUUUUAUAUAACCUCCAGAGAGAGGUGGUACCAGCUCCGGUCCUCCCCGUGUCUCCCGUGAACCUGCCACCCAUCACAGAAAAGGUUUCAUCAUUUUCCCUGGGACAGCUCCCUGUCAUCAUCAUCCUCAUCUCAUCCCACAGGCUAAACAAUGCAUCUCGUCUCCCCUCCAGGUAGCAGAGGCUUUAUAAAUUAUUUUAUCGAAGUGGGAGAUUUGGAGAAAGGUUCACUAAGAUGAUAAGCUGCCCAAGGCAGAGGAAAGGAGAAAGACACCUCGUCCCAACCUCCACCCCUCAGAAGGCAGACGGCAACAGGGGGCACCGGGGUCACGGCUCUCUCGGAUCCCGAAAGAGUCGGGCAGCCGCACCCCCAGCCCGACCCCGGCCAGGACAGCGGCGCUCGUUAGCGAAAAAGGGGUGGGGGAGAAGGUCCGAGAUCCGACCCGGAGGGCCGAGAGACAUGUGCGGCGAGCGGCGGGAGGGGCGGGUCCUUCCGCCCUCUGGGGCGAGCGGCUCGGCUUCGAACGCGGCUCUGAAGGCGCUCGGGCAGCGGGAGGCCUCCGGGGCUGGAGGGCCGCACCGCGCCGAGGGCUCCCACAGGCCUCGCCCGCCGCCCACCCGGGACCCCGGCGGCCCCGCUCGACAGCGGCCCGGGAACGGUCCCAGCCGGCCCUGCCCGCCGGCGCGGCACAGGCGGCCAGGAGGGCAGAAGAUGAGGGGUUACCGUACGCUGCUCCGGAGCUAGCAGGGUUAGGACGCGGCUCCAGCGACCCGAAGCCGGCUCGGCAGCGGCUGCGGCGGCCGCGUCCUUUAUUUUUGCUGCAGCAGCGGCGACUUGUCAAAGGGAACGACGUAAGAGGCGGUGGCAGCGGCGGCAGGUCUUUGUUGAAUGCCUACCAUAAACCAGGAACUGAUUAUACUAAGUUGAGCAAGCUUUACUAUCUGCUCUCAAGGAGCUUAUUGUCUAACUGGAGGAUGCAGAAAAGAAAAUAGAUAAUUAUAACACCAUGUGAAGAGAGUGCAAGUGACAAGGGUAUGAGAGGAAGGAUCCAGUGAAAGGAAGGACAAAGAGCGGAAAUGCUUCUUGGAGAAGGAGGUUUAGGAGGAUGGCACACAUAAUGAGGAUCCAGCUCAUUUCAUGAACAGUGAUUCACAAAUCAACUCCAAAAUAACUUCAACAAAUUGCUCUGUUGUGGGUUGUGAAUUCUGCUUUGUUCUAAUCAAACUCAUAUAUCUCCUAAAC